RNAcentral lists this unclassified non-coding RNA (430 nucleotides) under soil metagenome. RNAcentral's name for it is "partial contains 5.8S ribosomal RNA, internal transcribed spacer 2, and large subunit ribosomal RNA". The stretch from base 1 to 120 matches the Rfam family "5.8S ribosomal RNA", at positions 35 to 154 of the family's 154-position model. The record is from RNAcentral.
GAUGAAGAACGUAGCGAAAUGCGAUACGUAAUGUGAAUUGCAGAAUUCAGUGAAUCAUCGAAUCUUUGAACGCAUAUUGCGCUCUCUGGUAUUCCGGAGAGCAUGCUUGUUUGAGUAUUAGUAAACACCUCAACUCCCUUUUCUUUUUUGAAAUGGGAGCUGGACUUGAGUGAUCCCAACGCUUUUCUCACCGGAAAGUGGCGGGUUACUUGAAAUGCAGGUGCAGCUGGACUUUUCUCUGAGCUAUAAGCAUAUCUAUUUAGUCUGCCUAAAAACAGAUUAUUACCUUUGCUGCAGCUAACAUAAAGGAGAUUAGUUCUUGUGCUGACUGAUGCAGGAUUCACAGAGACAGCUUCGGCUGACUUUGUAAACUCGAUCUCAAAUCAAGUAAGACUACCCGCUGAACUUAAGCAUAUCAAUAAGCGGAGGA